AAAACUGAUUCAAGUUAGUUAUACCGAAUAUGUCCUCUAAGUGGCUUAUAUUAUUGCAAUUGAAACUGCUUUUAAUAUCGAUGCAAAUGUGGAAAGCAGAAGGCGAUUGCUGUCAUCGAAAAUCCAUGGAAUUUGCAAUAUCUGAACACAAGACAUGCGAGGAAUACGAUGGUGUAGAAAAUGGUAAAGGAACAUGUGUUAGUUUAAUUUGUGACGACUUAACCAAACCAACGCCUUGCUGUGGAAUGACCGAUUGUGACCACAUGUGUUGCAACUGCAACUGUCGAAAACUAAAUAUCACAACUAUUUUAAAGCGUAGCUUUAAAACCCUAGGAAUCAAAUUACUUAAAAUUGAUAAUGUUGAAAGCAGAAAGAUUCGAAAACGUCACCAUGUUCACUGUUAAGAUUGGAAUAACUAAAUAAACUUCCAAAAAAUUCUGUACAAGUGUGAAUAACUAUAAAAUUAAAUAAAGCCCGUUGGACAACAAAUUAA
Drosophila innubila is the source of this 493-nucleotide long non-coding RNA. RefSeq lists it as uncharacterized. Lineage: Eukaryota; Metazoa; Arthropoda; Insecta; Diptera; Drosophilidae. The record is from RefSeq and is a predicted model, not a curated record. The transcript has 2 exons.